UACGGAGGGCGCGAGCGUUAAUCGGAAUUACUGGGCGUAAAGCGCGCGUAGGCUGUUGUGUAAGUUGGGGGUGAAAUCCCACGGCUCAACCGUGGAACAGCCCUUGAUACUGCGCGACUUGAAUCCGGGAGAGGGUGGCGGAAUUCCAGGUGUAGGAGUGAAAUCCGUAGAUAUCUGGAGGAACAUCAGUGGCGAAGGCGGCCACCUGGACCGGUAUUGACGCUGAGGCGCGAAAGCAUGGGGAGCAAACAGG
Molecule: ribosomal RNA, 253 nt
Filed under: uncultured bacterium
Lineage: Bacteria
Description: partial 16S ribosomal RNA
Rfam family: Bacterial small subunit ribosomal RNA
Source: RNAcentral